RNAcentral lists this ribosomal RNA (442 nucleotides) under uncultured bacterium. RNAcentral's name for it is "partial 16S ribosomal RNA". It matches the Rfam family "Bacterial small subunit ribosomal RNA", at positions 338 to 795 of the family's 1533-position model. The record is from RNAcentral.
CCUACAGGAGGCAGCAGUGGGGAAUAUUGGGCAAUGGGCGAAAGCCUGACCCAGCAACGCCGCGUGAAGGAAGAAGGCUUUCGGGUUGUACACGUCUUUCGACAGGGCAGAGCAGUAGACGGUAUCUGUCGAAUAAGCUACGGCUAACUACGUACCAGCAGCCGCGUUAAUAAGGAGGUGGCAAGCGUUGUCCGGAUGUACGGGGUGGAAAGGGUGGGUAGCUGGGCUGACAAGUAAGAUGUGAAAUCCGGGGGCUCAACCCCCGAAUUGCAUUUGAAACUGUUGGUGUGGAGUAUGGGAGAGGCAGGAGGAAGUGCUAGUGUAGCGGUGAAAUGCGUAGAUAUUAGGAGGAACACCAGUGGCGAAGGCGGCCUGCUGGACGACAACUGACGGUGAGGCGCGAAAGCGUGGGGAGCAAACAGGAUUAGAUACCCGGGUAGUC